This 253-nucleotide ribosomal RNA is filed under the name uncultured bacterium. RNAcentral describes it as "partial 16S ribosomal RNA". It matches the Rfam family "Bacterial small subunit ribosomal RNA", at positions 524 to 776 of the family's 1533-position model. The record is from RNAcentral.
UACGGGGGGAGCAAGCGUUGUUCGGAUUUACUGGGCGUAAAGGGCGCGUAGGCGGCACCGCAAGUCGACUGUGAAAUCUCCGGGCUUAACCCGGAAAGGUCAGCCGAUACUGCGGGGCUAGAGUGCAGAAGGGGCAACUGGAAUUCUCGGUGUAGCGGUGAAAUGCGUAGAUAUCGAGAGGAACACCUGCGGCGAAGGCGGGUUGCUGGGCUGACACUGACGCUGAUGCGCGAAAGCUGGGGGAGCAAACCGG